GUCUUGAUAGCUCCGUUGGCUAGAGCGUGGUGCUGAUAAGGCCAAGGUUGCAGGUUCGAUCCCCUUAUGGGACA
Non-coding RNA from Podarcis lilfordi (Lilford's wall lizard), 74 nucleotides. The record is from the annotation of a GenBank genome assembly. NCBI's taxonomy places the organism in Eukaryota, Metazoa, Chordata, Lepidosauria, Squamata, Lacertidae.